Long non-coding RNA from Dermacentor albipictus, 693 nucleotides. RefSeq lists it as uncharacterized. NCBI's taxonomy places the organism in Eukaryota, Metazoa, Arthropoda, Arachnida, Ixodida, Ixodidae. The record is from RefSeq and is a predicted model, not a curated record.
AGCACUAACAUACGUGCGGGCAUCACAUUUGGUGGUACGCUGGAAGAUAUGCUACAAGUACGCUGUAUUACUAAUCGACGCUGGCAAUAAUGCGUCUGAAACCUUUGAAGGGCCCUGUAAUGGCUUUUACAAACAGCGCAUUCAAGUUAGCGUUCCAGUCUCAUACGAUAGCCCACAGCGUUUGUCAUACAACCUGCCAGCGCAUUUCCUUCGUCCACGAAAAAAGAUGAAUAAUGGUGAUAAAGAUGAAUAAGCCACCCGUUCCGGCGCGCAUGGCGCGCAGAGAGAGAGCGAAAAAAAAAAUGAAGGAGGAAAAGGCGCUCACACUCCUCCGAGCGCGCGCGCUCUUGCGCGCGGAGCUCCUGCGCAUGCGCGGAGAUCUUGCGCAUGCGCGGCGGUGCGCCAUCUCAACGAGUGCGCCAGGCACGUAUACGGUUGUACCGGUGUGCGGUGUCCGCCUGAACGUUGGUGUCUGUGUAUGCGUGUCAUCUUUGUGGCAUCACACGUCAACUACACUGAACGCAUACACCUGCAGCACCUUUGGGACUAAUGACACAAAGGUCAAGGCCAGCCUGGCGACCAUGCUUGCCAAGGAGUAGUGUAAAUAUUUAAUCUGUUUCCAUAAUAGCAUAAGACAAGAAUUUAAGGAAUUCAUGUAUUAUAUCGAGCAAUAAAAACGGUUAAUGUAUUGCC